Molecule: long non-coding RNA, 1011 nt
Filed under: Heterocephalus glaber (naked mole-rat)
Lineage: Eukaryota; Metazoa; Chordata; Mammalia; Rodentia; Bathyergidae
Description: lncRNA (ENSHGLG00100050346.1)
Source: RNAcentral
CAGAUGCCUAACCUCUCUGGGCCUCAGUUUCCCUACUGGUGGAGCCACACUCCUGCCAUGCUACACGGAGGAACCCUGGAAGGGAAGCCCUUUGCAAGGAAAGCUCCACAAACCUGCCAGCAGCUCCCAAGUCUUAAGUGCCUUGCCUGAGUCUGGGUGGAUGUUGGGAAUCCCAAGACCUAAACUUCCCCUGGGAGCCAAGAAGCUUAGAAUUAGAUUGGCCAUGAGAUCCCAAGGGCCGUGGCGACCCAGGCUGGGGCUCAAAGCCCUCACACUCAAAUGCUGUUCAUUUAUUCAUUCAACAAACUUGUUGAGUACCUACUGUGUCCUGGGCCCUGUUCUAAAGCCAUGUGUGUUAACAGUGAAUGACAAAUUCCAGUGUGAGAGACAGAAAGCACACAUCGGUGAUGGAGAAACAACCCACAAGCAAUCCAGUGAUGAAACUGAAACAACCACAAAGUAGAGAGGGAUGGGGCUGCCACAGGCAGGCUAGAGGAAACCAGUGCAGGACCCAGGAUGGAUGGGACCACCGCACUUUAGAAAGGCAGGCAUGAGGAGAAAGGUUGCAGGGGCCUCUGGUACUGGCUUUACUUGGUGUGUUUCCUGAGGUUGGUAGGAAAUGUCUAAGCACCCACAGUCUCCUCACUGCUCCCAGGACCUUCAAAAGAGGCUGUGGUUACUCUGGCACCAACAGAAAGGGCACUCCCCAAGCAGGUGGCAGCACCCCCCCCCAUGUGACCAGGAGCUCAGACCAGAGACCUGGGGAGAGAGUGCUCCUGGGGGAAAUCAAGGCCAGCAGGGGCUGCUGAUCCACUCUCCCGGGCACCUCUGCUGAGGCCUUGGGGGUGUCUACAUCGGGUCGGGCAGAGAAGGCAGGUCCUGGCUUCCCUCCUCGGUGCUCCUAGCCUAACACGCACCCCCAGGUGCCCAGCAUAACAGAGCAGGAACUGAGCCUGGCCCCCAGGCCCUGCCAUAGGUUUAAGCACCCCACACCCAGGCAGUGUCCCCAAG